Molecule: ribosomal RNA, 256 nt
Filed under: Salmonella enterica subsp. enterica serovar Rissen
Lineage: Bacteria; Pseudomonadati; Pseudomonadota; Gammaproteobacteria; Enterobacterales; Enterobacteriaceae
Description: partial 16S ribosomal RNA
Rfam family: Bacterial small subunit ribosomal RNA
Source: RNAcentral
UCCAGAGAUGGACUGGUGCCUUCGGGAACCGUGAGACAGGUGCUGCAUGGCUGUCGUCAGCUCGUGUUGUGAAAUGUUGGGUUAAGUCCCGCAACGAGCGCAACCCUUAUCCUUUGUUGCCAGCGGUUAGGCCGGGAACUCAAAGGAGACUGCCAGUGAUAAACUGGAGGAAGGUGGGGAUGACGUCAAGUCAUCAUGGCCCUUACGACCAGGGCUACACACGUGCUACAAUGGCGCAUACAAAGAGAAGCGACCU